This 901-nucleotide ribosomal RNA is filed under the name Fusarium tricinctum. RNAcentral describes it as "LSU rRNA". It matches the Rfam family "Eukaryotic large subunit ribosomal RNA", at positions 34 to 965 of the family's 3401-position model. The record is from RNAcentral. Lineage: Eukaryota; Fungi; Ascomycota; Sordariomycetes; Hypocreales; Nectriaceae.
UUAAGCAUAUCAAUAAGCGGAGGAAAAGAAACCAACAGGGAUUGCCCUAGUAACGGCGAGUGAAGCGGCAACAGCUCAAAUUUGAAAUCUGGCUUUCGGGCCCGAGUUGUAAUUUGUAGAGGAUACUUUUGAUGCGGUGCCUUCCGAGUUCCCUGGAACGGGACGCCAUAGAGGGUGAGAGCCCCGUCUGGUUGGAUGCCAAAUCUCUGUAAAGUUCCUUCGACGAGUCGAGUAGUUUGGGAAUGCUGCUCUAAAUGGGAGGUAUAUGUCUUCUAAAGCUAAAUAUUGGCCAGAGACCGAUAGCGCACAAGUAGAGUGAUCGAAAGAUGAAAAGCACUUUGAAAAGAGAGUUAAAAAGUACGUGAAAUUGUUGAAAGGGAAGCGUUUAUGACCAGACUUGGACUUGGUUAAUCAUCUGGGGUUCUCCCCAGUGCACUUUUCCAGUUCAGGCCAGCAUCAGUUUUCGCCGGGGGAUAAAGGCUUCGGGAAUGUAGCUCUCUUCGGGGAGUGUUAUAGCCCGUUGUGUAAUACCCUGGCGGAGACUGAGGUUCGCGCUUCUGCAAGGAUGCUGGCGUAAUGGUCAUCAACGACCCGUCUUGAAACACGGACCAAGGAGUCGUCUUCGUAUGCGAGUGUUCGGGUGUCAAACCCCUACGCGUAAUGAAAGUGAACGCAGGUGAGAGCUUCGGCGCAUCAUCGACCGAUCCUGAUGUUCUCGGAUGGAUUUGAGUAAGAGCAUACGGGGCCGGACCCGAAAGAAGGUGAACUAUGCCUGUAUAGGGUGAAGCCAGAGGAAACUCUGGUGGAGGCUCGCAGCGGUUCUGACGUGCAAAUCGAUCGUCAAAUAUGGGCAUGGGGGCGAAAGACUAAUCGAACCUUCUAGUAGCUGGUUUCCGCCGAA